GACGAACGCUGGCGGCGUGCCUAACACAUGCAAGUCGAACGGAACUGUUUUGAAAGAUUUCUUCGGAAUGAAUUUGAUUUAGUUUAGUGGCGGACGGGUGAGUAACGCGUGAGUAACCUGCCUUCAAGAGGGGAAUAACAUUCUGAAAAGAAUGCUAAUACCGCAUGACAUAUCGGAACCACAUGGUUUUGAUAUCAAAGAUCUUAUCGCUUGAAGAUGGACUCGCGUCCGAUUAGUUAGUUGGUGAGGUAACGGCUCACCAAGACCGCGAUCGGUAGCCGGACUGAGAGGUUGAACGGCCACAUUGGGACUGAGACACGGCCCAGACUCCUACGGGAGGCAGCAGUGGGGGAUAUUGCGCAAUGGGGGCAACCCUGACGCAGCAACGCCGCGUGAAGGAUGAAGGUUUUCGGAUUGUAAACUUCUUUUAUUAAGGACGAAAAAUGACGGUACUUAAUGAAUAAGCUCCGGCUAACUACGUG
This 482-nucleotide ribosomal RNA is filed under the name uncultured bacterium. Its description in RNAcentral is "partial 16S ribosomal RNA". It matches the Rfam family "Bacterial small subunit ribosomal RNA", at positions 28 to 507 of the family's 1533-position model. The record is from RNAcentral.